GUACGAUAAUAGCAAAGCUAUCUGAAAAGUAGUGACGCAAAACUAAAGGGGCUAAAACGUUGAGUCAUGCCAGCCAGUUGCCGAA
This 85-nucleotide non-coding RNA is filed under the name Evansella cellulosilytica. RNAcentral describes it as "Bacillus cellulosilyticus c-di-GMP sequence". It matches the Rfam family "c-di-GMP-I riboswitch aptamer". Rfam says of the family: GEMM was predicted in a large-scale screen for bacterial structured RNA regulatory elements. Genes associated with GEMM are involved in a diverse array of functions, including chemotaxis regulation, signal transduction, secretion and chitin. The record is from RNAcentral. Lineage: Bacteria; Bacillati; Bacillota; Bacilli; Caryophanales; Bacillaceae. RNAcentral also lists the same sequence under 1 other name.